AGCAGCCGCGGUAAUUCCAGCUCCAAUAGCGUAUAUUAAAGUUGUUGCAGCUAAAAAGCUCGUAGUUGAAUUUCGGGGUCAGCAAGUUGGUCGUGCCACCGGUAUGCACUGGCUUUGCUGAUUCCUCCUUCUUGUAGAACCGUAAUGCCAUUAAGUUGGUGUUGCGGGAAAACAGGACUGUUACUUUGAAAAAAUUAGAGUGUUUAAAGCAGGCUAACGCUUGAAUACAUUAGCAUGGAAUAAUGAAAUAGGACGACGAUCCUAUUUUGUUGGUUUCUAGGAUUGACGUAAUGAUUAAUAGGGAUAGUUGGGGGCAUUAGUAUUCAAUUGUCAGAGGUGAAAUUCUUGGAUUUAUUGAAGACUGACUACUGCGAAAGCAUUUGCCAAGGAUGUUUUCAUUAAUCAAGAGCGAAAGUUAGGGGAUCGAAGACGAUCAGAUACCGUCGUAGUCUUAACCAUAAACUAUGCCGACUAGGGAUCGGAUGAUGUUAAUUUUAUAAUGACUCA
RNAcentral lists this ribosomal RNA (507 nucleotides) under uncultured Glomus. RNAcentral's name for it is "SSU rRNA". It matches the Rfam family "Eukaryotic small subunit ribosomal RNA", at positions 569 to 1078 of the family's 1831-position model. Lineage: Eukaryota; Fungi; Glomeromycota; Glomeromycetes; Glomerales; Glomeraceae. The record is from RNAcentral.